AANGGAGUGGAGCAGUUGGCAGCUCGUCGGGCUCAUAACCCGAAGGUCGUAGGUUCAAGUCCUGCCUCCGCAACCA
This 76-nucleotide transfer RNA is filed under the name Clostridioides difficile. Its description in RNAcentral is "tRNA-Met(cat)". The stretch from base 4 to 69 matches the Rfam family "tRNA". Rfam says of the family: Transfer RNA (tRNA) molecules are approximately 80 nucleotides in length. Their secondary structure includes four short double-helical elements and three loops (D, anti-codon, and T loops). The record is from RNAcentral. Lineage: Bacteria; Bacillati; Bacillota; Clostridia; Peptostreptococcales; Peptostreptococcaceae.